Molecule: long non-coding RNA, 753 nt
Organism: Gossypium arboreum
Lineage: Eukaryota; Viridiplantae; Streptophyta; Magnoliopsida; Malvales; Malvaceae
Exons: 4
Source: RefSeq, a predicted model, not a curated record
AGAAAUUAUUGGGUGAGCUUCUUUUUUGAAAUACUCUAUCGGAUAUUAUUAUUAGAACACCAAACACAAUACAACCCCAUAAAAGGCAAAAAUCAAGCCCAAUUAUAUGACCCAACUUAGCGAAAAAGCAAAAGAUGUUCUAAAAGCCUCCAAAUUGUAACAGUACAAUUAAUAUUUGCACAACUCCUGAAAACAUGAACAUAAAAAGCUUCCAAAUUUAAUUAUUUCUCUUUUCAAAGUUUCAAGAACUGUUCAUCUGUUUCCUACAUCUCUUCAGAUCCCUCAUCUCUCCAAUUUGAAUGACAGAUUACUCACCCAUCAGACCAGCAAGCUGGACAAUCGUUCUCUCUUGACCUCCUCUUUUGCAAAAAUAGACAAAUAGACAACAUUGACGAGGAAUUAUUUUCAAAGAACCAGAUCAAGAAACAAAGAAAUCAAAUUUGGAUCGGGGAAAAACGAAAGUUGUCGACUAGCAGCCCCGUCCCAUUUUACGACGUCCGAGAUUUUGGAAAAUCAAGUUACAAGCUCGGGGAUCAUUUACGAAGCUCAUCACACUAUCCACUAUUUUGGGUACUUUUAUAAGUUGCAUUAGAAAUUAUGGCAUGUAUAAGCUAAAGUAUGUUUUGGAAAUGUUAAUUUGGGGGUUGUAUAUAAAGCCAUGCGAAAAUGGCUAAGCAAUUAUCCUUAAAAAUUAUCUAUGUUAAGCUCAAUCUUUGCCCACUCUACUUUAUAAUUAUGUGACAUGUUUGCAUG